UCUUGUGGCAUUCUGUAAAAAGCAUCGCAUUGCCCGUUUUUGGGGCACCCUUGUCUGCGACCGAAGGCAGCACAGAAAAGAGGACAAGCUGAUCUUGGAUUUGACUCUGGGAGGUGUAGCAUGGACGUGGUUCCAAGACGAAGCUUGGGUUUCUCUCUCUGCUGGCCUGUUGCUGUCAGUCUGGGCGCCUGCUUUGGUUCACAGCUCCCUGGGCAGAGCGCGAGAGCCACGCAGGAAAGACUUACAGCAGGAAAUACCUCACCGAUAGUCACCCCACAGGGACCGUAAGACGAACAAAUGAAAAAAAAUAACAGGGAUGGAGGAGAGGAGGAUGAGGUACAGGUCUGGAAAUGCUUUCAGCAAAACAGGGCCCUGAAUGGCUCUUUAAUUAGAGUUAUAUGAGACGUUGUAUAGCGUUGCUUUCCACAUGAUCAGCUCACUUUUGCUUAUUUCUCCAGUCACUAAAUUGGCGAGCAAUUGGCUCUGCAUUCCCAAGCCCCUCGUGUCCCAUCGAAUGGAGGAAUGGUGGGAUCCCACAGGCCACAUUAAAGAUCAAUGAAAAAAGAAACAACACAAGUAGAACGCAUUGUAGAUGCAGAGACGGAGAGAGAACAGGCCCGUGGUGUGUGUUUUCCCUCUGGCUGCCGAGCGCCGGGCCACACAGGCACAGGACACCACGGAGAAAAGACAAGAGUGUGAGACACUGCGCACAAUCCGGGACCUUUAUUACCGUUUCAUGCUGACCUCUCUGCAUAUAAACACACCUUUUGUCUCAUUUUCAUAC
Molecule: long non-coding RNA, 784 nt
Organism: Carassius carassius (crucian carp)
Lineage: Eukaryota; Metazoa; Chordata; Actinopteri; Cypriniformes; Cyprinidae
Exons: 3
Source: RefSeq, a predicted model, not a curated record